Molecule: ribosomal RNA, 517 nt
Filed under: Streptomyces sp. WAC 01420
Lineage: Bacteria; Bacillati; Actinomycetota; Actinomycetes; Kitasatosporales; Streptomycetaceae
Description: bacterial SSU rRNA
Rfam family: Bacterial small subunit ribosomal RNA
Source: RNAcentral
UUUGAUCCUCGGCUCAGAUUGAACGCUGGCGGCAUGCCUUACACAUGCAAGUCGAACGGCAGCACGGGUGCUUGCACCUGGUGGCGAGUGGCGAACGGGUGAGUAAUACAUCGGAACAUGUCCUGUAGUGGGGGAUAGCCCGGCGAAAGCCGGAUUAAUACCGCAUACGAUCUACGGAUGAAAGCGGGGGACCUUCGGGCCUCGCGCUAUAGGGUUGGCCGAUGGCUGAUUAGCUAGUUGGUGGGUAAAGGCCUACCAAGGCGACGAUCAGUAGCUGGUCUGAGAGGACGACCAGCCACACUGGGACUGAGACACGGCCCAGACUCCUACGGGAGGCAGCAGUGGGGAAUUUUGGACAAUGGGCGAAAGCCUGAUCCAGCAAUGCCGCGUGUGUGAAGAAGGCCUUCGGGUUGUAAAGCACUUUUGUCCGGAAAGAAAUCCUUGGCUCUAAUACAGUCGGGGGAUGACGGUACCGGAAGAAUAAGCACCGGCUAACUACGUGCCAGCCGCCGCGGUA